Molecule: transfer RNA, 74 nt
Filed under: Nocardia farcinica
Lineage: Bacteria; Bacillati; Actinomycetota; Actinomycetes; Mycobacteriales; Nocardiaceae
Also listed under: 1 other name
Description: tRNA_Pro_TGG
Rfam family: tRNA
About the family: Transfer RNA (tRNA) molecules are approximately 80 nucleotides in length. Their secondary structure includes four short double-helical elements and three loops (D, anti-codon, and T loops).
Source: RNAcentral
UUGGGCGUAGUUCAGCUAGGUAGAGCGCUGGCCUUGGGUGCCAGAUGUCGGGGGUUCGAAUCCCUCCGCCCAGA